This 2923-nucleotide ribosomal RNA is filed under the name Klebsiella pneumoniae. RNAcentral describes it as "23S ribosomal RNA". It matches the Rfam family "Bacterial large subunit ribosomal RNA". Lineage: Bacteria; Pseudomonadati; Pseudomonadota; Gammaproteobacteria; Enterobacterales; Enterobacteriaceae. The record is from RNAcentral.
GGGUUGUGAGGUUAAGCGACUAAGCGUACACGGUGGAUGCCCUGGCAGUCAGAGGCGAUGAAGGACGUGCUAAUCUGCGAAAAGCGUCGGUAAGGUGAUAUGAACCGUUAUAACCGGCGAUGUCCGAAUGGGGAAACCCAGUGUGAUUCGUCACACUAUCGUUAACUGAAUACAUAGGUUAACGAGGCGAACCGGGGGAACUGAAACAUCUAAGUACCCCGAGGAAAAGAAAUCAACCGAGAUUCCCCCAGUAGCGGCGAGCGAACGGGGAGCAGCCCAGAGUCUGAAUCAGCUUGUGUGUUAGUGGAACGGUCUGGAAAGUCCGACGGUACAGGGUGAUAGUCCCGUACACCAAAAUGCACAGGUUGUGAACUCGAAGAGUAGGGCGGGACACGUGGUAUCCUGUCUGAAUAUGGGGGGACCAUCCUCCAAGGCUAAAUACUCCUGACUGACCGAUAGUGAACCAGUACCGUGAGGGAAAGGCGAAAAGAACCCCGGCGAGGGGAGUGAAAAAGAACCUGAAACCGUGUACGUACAAGCAGUGGGAGCACCUUCGGGUGUGACUGCGUACCUUUUGUAUAAUGGGUCAGCGACUUAUAUUCUGUAGCAAGGUUAACCGUAUAGGGGAGCCGCAGGGAAACCGAGUCUUAACUGGGCGUUAAGUUGCAGGGUAUAGACCCGAAACCCGGUGAUCUAGCCAUGGGCAGGUUGAAGGUUGGGUAACACUAACUGGAGGACCGAACCGACUAAUGUUGAAAAAUUAGCGGAUGACUUGUGGCUGGGGGUGAAAGGCCAAUCAAACCGGGAGAUAGCUGGUUCUCCCCGAAAGCUAUUUAGGUAGCGCCUCGUGAACUCAUCUUCGGGGGUAGAGCACUGUUUCGGCUAGGGGGUCAUCCCGACUUACCAACCCGAUGCAAACUACGAAUACCGAAGAAUGUUAUCACGGGAGACACACGGCGGGUGCUAACGUCCGUCGUGAAGAGGGAAACAACCCAGACCGCCAGCUAAGGUCCCAAAGUCAUGGUUAAGUGGGAAACGAUGUGGGAAGGCACAGACAGCCAGGAUGUUGGCUUAGAAGCAGCCAUCAUUUAAAGAAAGCGUAAUAGCUCACUGGUCGAGUCGGCCUGCGCGGAAGAUGUAACGGGGCUAAACCAUGCACCGAAGCUGCGGCAGCGACACUAUGUGUUGUUGGGUAGGGGAGCGUUCUGUAAGCCUGCGAAGGUGACCUGUGAGGGUUGCUGGAGGUAUCAGAAGUGCGAAUGCUGACAUAAGUAACGAUAAAGCGGGUGAAAAGCCCGCUCGCCGGAAGACCAAGGGUUCCUGUCCAACGUUAAUCGGGGCAGGGUGAGUCGACCCCUAAGGCGAGGCCGAAAGGCGUAGUCGAUGGGAAACAGGUUAAUAUUCCUGUACUUGGUGUUACUGCGAAGGGGGGACGGAGAAGGCUAUGUUAGCCGGGCGACGGUUGUCCCGGUUUAAGCAUGUAGGCUGGUUGUCCAGGCAAAUCCGGAUAAUCAAGGCUGAGGUGUGAUGACGAGGUACUACGGUGCUGAAGUAACAAAUGCCCUGCUUCCAGGAAAAGCCUCUAAGCAUCAGGUAACAUCAAAUCGUACCCCAAACCGACACAGGUGGUCAGGUAGAGAAUACCAAGGCGCUUGAGAGAACUCGGGUGAAGGAACUAGGCAAAAUGGUGCCGUAACUUCGGGAGAAGGCACGCUGGUGUGUAGGUGAAGUCCCUGCGGAUGGAGCUGAGACCAGUCGAAGAUACCAGCUGGCUGCAACUGUUUAUUAAAAACACAGCACUGUGCAAACACGAAAGUGGACGUAUACGGUGUGACGCCUGCCCGGUGCCGGAAGGUUAAUUGAUGGGGUUAUCCGUAAGGAGAAGCUCUUGAUCGAAGCCCCGGUAAACGGCGGCCGUAACUAUAACGGUCCUAAGGUAGCGAAAUUCCUUGUCGGGUAAGUUCCGACCUGCACGAAUGGCGUAAUGAUGGCCAGGCUGUCUCCACCCGAGACUCAGUGAAAUUGAACUCGCUGUGAAGAUGCAGUGUACCCGCGGCAAGACGGAAAGACCCCGUGAACCUUUACUAUAGCUUGACACUGAACAUUGAGCCUUGAUGUGUAGGAUAGGUGGGAGGCUUUGAAGCGUGGACGCCAGUCUGCGUGGAGCCAACCUUGAAAUACCACCCUUUAAUGUUUGAUGUUCUAACGUUGGCCCCUUAUCGGGGUUGCGGACAGUGUCUGGUGGGUAGUUUGACUGGGGCGGUCUCCUCCCAAAGCGUAACGGAGGAGCACGAAGGUUAGCUAAUCCUGGUCGGACAUCAGGAGGUUAGUGCAAUGGCAUAAGCUAGCUUGACUGCGAGCGUGACGGCGCGAGCAGGUGCGAAAGCAGGUCAUAGUGAUCCGGUGGUUCUGAAUGGAAGGGCCAUCGCUCAACGGAUAAAAGGUACUCCGGGGAUAACAGGCUGAUACCGCCCAAGAGUUCAUAUCGACGGCGGUGUUUGGCACCUCGAUGUCGGCUCAUCACAUCCUGGGGCUGAAGUAGGUCCCAAGGGUAUGGCUGUUCGCCAUUUAAAGUGGUACGCGAGCUGGGUUUAGAACGUCGUGAGACAGUUCGGUCCCUAUCUGCCGUGGGCGCUGGAGAAUUGAGGGGGGCUGCUCCUAGUACGAGAGGACCGGAGUGGACGCAUCACUGGUGUUCGGGUUGUCAUGCCAAUGGCACUGCCCGGUAGCUAAAUGCGGAAGAGAUAAGUGCUGAAAGCAUCUAAGCACGAAACUUGCCCCGAGAUGAGUUCUCCCUGAGACUUUAAGUCUCCUGAAGGAACGUUAAAGACGAUGACGUUGAUAGGCCGGGUGUGUAAGCGCAGCGAUGCGUUGAGCUAACCGGUACUAAUGAACCGUGAGGCUUAACCUUACAACGCCGAAG